Corvus hawaiiensis (hawaiian crow) is the source of this 1618-nucleotide long non-coding RNA. RefSeq lists it as uncharacterized. The transcript is spliced from 2 exons. Lineage: Eukaryota; Metazoa; Chordata; Aves; Passeriformes; Corvidae. The record is from RefSeq and is a predicted model, not a curated record.
GAUUGGUAUCGGGACCCGGAUCCCGCGGGCGGGAGGAGCUGCUCUGGGGCGGGCGCUGGGGCCGAGUUCGGCCCUGCCGCUCCGGCUCCGGCCGGCGCGGGACUGCGGCCCCGCCGGGGCUCCGGGCACGGUCCCGCUCCGGCUGCGGGGAGCCGGGGCCGUGCCAGGGCUGUGCCGGGGCCGUGCCAGGGCUGUGCCGGGGCCAGCGGUGUUUUCCUCGUGCCUCGAUGUUCUGGGAGCCAGAGUGGCUGCCUUGCCCACCCACGUGCCCGUCCUUGGGCAGCCCCACGAGCACACCUGGCCUAGGAGCUGGCACUGAGCGUGCCGUGGGUCCCAGCACGGGCUGAUCCCAGCUCUGCCUUCGGCAUUUCCUGCCCUUCGUGCCUUUGGAACUUAGGGAAUUUCGAACAGCGACUUUUUCCCUGCCACCAAGAAGUUGCAGCUCCUCUGACAGCUGCCAGUUGGGGAAGGUCCUGCCUGGGAUGGAAAUGGCCACAAAAGAGGAAACUGAAAAAGGCCAAAACCAGAUGCUGCCACGUGAGUCAAGGCAGGGAAAGCCUCGGGAUGUUGAAGGUUUUAUUGUCCCGUGCUCCUGCACGGGGUGCCCGUCCUGUCUGGCGGCCCCGCGGCUUGAAACCUCUGCUGACGGCCAGUGCCAGCCUUGUUUCCUCCGAGGGACCCCACAGGGCCACCAGGAUGCCGCCAAAAUGGGAUCUUGGGGGCCCCAGUCCCCCCACAGCAUUAAAUGGCUCGAUCCUGGGGACCUUUUACAGGAGAGCAGCAAUUGCACGUGAAACUUUGAUGACCACUGAGAAAUGAGAGAAGCCUGUGAUAAAAAACCUUUUUUUAAAGAAUAAGACCAACAAUUUCUCUACAGCAGUUUAGCAGCUUCAAUUUCCAUUCUGUCCACAUGACACAGCAUCUAAUUCCAUCUCCUGAUCUGAUCUUGGCAAAAGGAAGAGUCACCUGCCCUCAGCAUAAAUAUUUAGUACAUAAAAUACUGACAAGAAACCCACUUUUAAUAAAUAUCUGCAGUUCUCACUCCUGUACACAAGUACUUUACAGCGACGCGCCGGGGGGAGCGCGGCCGGCGGGGCUGGGACAAGGUGGGAUGGACAUAAAUUAAUUAUUGCAGUCGGAUGCGCCGUGGGCGGGGAGGUUUGGAGUCGAUCCACGCUGGAAACAGAAAUCUCUCUCACGCCUUGAAAUCCACGCUUCCUGUCGGGAAAAAAAUCCUCAGUUUGGAGUCUUGUCGGCGCCUGUUCUGCCUGUGGGAGGCUGCUUCAGCACGGACAGGGAGCAGCUGGGAACCAGAACCCGCUUGGACUGGGACCAGGACAGCACUUGCAGUACCUACAGGGUCUGCACAAAGCAUCACAGUGAUGAUACCCAAAACAGCCCCAAAACCAUGGAUGUCCUCACCUGGGCACAGGGGCUGCCUCACCACAGGCCAGGAGCUCACCUGGCCACUGCCUUCUCCUGCUUUAAAAUAUCAGAUGGAGCCCAGCCUCAGGGUGGGUGAAAAUCAGCUGAAUUCCAGGGAACUCAGUAAAAUCCCCCACAGGGACACCAGUGGAGCUGGGGGAGAGGGUUAUAAAUAAAAUUCUAUGGAAUAUAA